GCUCCCAUGGCGUAGUGGUCACUGCGCUCAGCUUGCACGCGGGAGACCCGGGUUCGAUUCCCGGCGGGGUCA
This 72-nucleotide transfer RNA is filed under the name Diaphorina citri (Asian citrus psyllid). It matches the Rfam family "tRNA". Rfam says of the family: Transfer RNA (tRNA) molecules are approximately 80 nucleotides in length. Their secondary structure includes four short double-helical elements and three loops (D, anti-codon, and T loops). The record is from Rfam by way of RNAcentral. Lineage: Eukaryota; Metazoa; Arthropoda; Insecta; Hemiptera; Psyllidae.